Molecule: long non-coding RNA, 251 nt
Organism: Hibiscus syriacus
Lineage: Eukaryota; Viridiplantae; Streptophyta; Magnoliopsida; Malvales; Malvaceae
Exons: 3
Source: RefSeq, a predicted model, not a curated record
UUCACCACAACUUGAUGUUUUGAAUGUAUUUUAUGACACAAAUGUUUGACUACUGAUGUAGAUUAUGGUGAUUGAAGUACAUCAUUUCAAGUGAUUUUAACAGUAUUCGAAUAUUUUUCACCUACGGAAUUCCAGCGCAUGAGACUACUGCCUCUUAUUACAAUUCAAGCCAGCUUGUCUUCCUUAUUCUAACCGGAGCUGUUAUUGCUAUUAGAACUCGAUUGGGGGUUUCAUGCUUGAUUAUAGCUGUA